RNAcentral lists this ribosomal RNA (508 nucleotides) under Toxoplasma gondii ME49. RNAcentral describes it as "Toxoplasma gondii rRNA TGME49_461030". It matches the Rfam family "Eukaryotic large subunit ribosomal RNA", at positions 1 to 501 of the family's 3401-position model. Lineage: Eukaryota; Apicomplexa; Conoidasida; Eucoccidiorida; Sarcocystidae. The record is from RNAcentral.
CAGACCUGAAAUCAGGCGAGGUUACCCGCUGAACUUAAGCAUAUUAUUAAGCGGAGGAGAAGAAAAUAACUAUGAUUCCCUUAGUAACGGCGAGUGAACCGGGAUCAGCUCAAAGUGGAAAUCAACUGCUCUUUCCGAGCUGUUGACUUGUAGCCUCGAGAGGCGUUACCAGUGGAAGCGCAGGGUUAAGUUUCUUGGGAAAGAACAUCAUAGAGGGUGAGAAUCCCGUCCUUCCCCUGCGUUUUUUGUUCCACGUACGGUACGCUUUUAUAGAGUCGCGUUCAUCGGGAUUUGAGCGCAAAAUGUGUGGUAGGUUUCACAUAAAGCUAAGUACUGGCGCGAGACCGAUAGCAAACAAGUACCGUGAGGGAAAGAUGAAAAGUUCUUUGGAAAGAGAGUUAAAAGUGCCUGAAAUUGCUGAAAAGGAAGCGAUUGGGACCUUUUUGAUUCCAAGAAGUGCCGCCGGUUUGCCAUCUAUCCCUUUGCCUUCUCUCUCUCACCAGGUUUA